GAUGAACGCUGGCGGCGUGCCUAAUACAUGCAAGUCGAACGAAACUUCUUUAUCACCGAGUGCUUGCACUCACCGAUAAAGAGUUGAGUGGCGAACGGGUGAGUAACACGUGGGCAACCUGCCCAAAAGAGGGGGAUAACACUUGGAAACAGGUGCUAAUACCGCAUAACCAUAGUUACCGCACGGUAACUAUGUAGAAGGUGGCUAUACUACCGCAUUUGGAUGGGCACGCGGCGCAUUAGCUAGUUGGUAGGGUAAAGGCUUACCAAGGCAAUGAUGCGUAGCCGAAUUGAGAGGUUGAUCGGCCACAUUGGAACUGAGACACGGCCCAAACUCCUACGGGAGGCAGCAGUAGGGAAUCUUGCACAAUGGGCGAAAGCCUGAUGGAGCAACGCCGCGUGGGUGAAGAAGGUCUUCGGAUCGUAAAACCCUGUUGUUAGAGAAGAAGGUGAGUGAGAGUAACUGUUCACGUUUCGACGGUAUCUAACCAGAAAGCCACGGCUAACUACGUG
RNAcentral lists this ribosomal RNA (512 nucleotides) under uncultured bacterium. RNAcentral's name for it is "partial 16S ribosomal RNA". It matches the Rfam family "Bacterial small subunit ribosomal RNA", at positions 28 to 507 of the family's 1533-position model. The record is from RNAcentral.